AAUGAGACUAUCAUUAUUAGGAUUGAAGGAUGGUUCAAUGUUGUUGAUAGCAGUAAGAAACACUUGCAAAUGUAUGUCUCAUCUAUUUAAAUGUGUGCUCUAAAAAUAAAUGUACACAACUGUCACAAUAUUGUUUAGUACAAUAUUUGAAUUAGAAGUAGUAGUUUUAUGUUUUUGUUUAGUUUUAUAGUAUCUCAGUUAUGAAAUAAAUCCAAGCCUUCCUCCAAAUAGGUUUUUUUGCCUUGAUUUUUAUAAUUCAAAUAAUUUUUGUAUUUUAUAAUAUUCAAACAAAAUGGUUUGUAGAGUCAAUGUUCUCUGACUUAGGUAGCUUUAAUUUAAUGCACUAACGAAGCGUUUUACCUGAGACGAGUGCUGGGAGAGGCUGAUUAGGAUUGCAACAAGGGGGAGACGUCGAUGCUGUCGCUGGCGACCGUUACCGCGACCAUAGCUGUGGGAGUGAGGCGCCGGCGACCAUGGCAUCGACCGUGUUGGCCCAUGGUGUUUCAAAUUUUCCAUGCUCCGUUCCAGGUAGCUGCCAUUCCGAUUGAUCCCCUCCAGGUGAGUGAGCAGCUUACACUCAACCGAUGCAGGCAUCCAAAGGCUCGACUGGGUGGCUAGGAACUCAGCUGGGCUCACUUCCAUUUGCAUUCUUUUCUGCAACAUCGGAUACUCCGGAAAGUUCAUGCAUGUUUGUUUUCUGAUAUGGUUUUUCUCAUAAUGCAGGGCACAAAGAUAGGUCUCCUUUUAGUUACCAUAGAUUUUAGUUUUUUUCUGCUUACUGUCUUCUCCACUUUCUUGUCAGAUUAAGCAACUAACAAAUGAAUCUGUGCACAUUUAUACCAUUUUUGCACUCAUUUAUGGGUCCAUCUAUGUUGAGUAUGUGUGUUCUGCUAUUCUGCAACUUAAAUCAAUAGGUAGUGAGAAGAUGCGAUAGUUUGAACCUCCUCCACUUCUUCUGUACAAGAUUGGUCAUUUUCCAAAGGGAUGGAAGUAGCUGUUUAGAGGAUCCACUCACAUGAGGUAC
Molecule: ribosomal RNA, 1024 nt
Filed under: Triticum aestivum (bread wheat)
Lineage: Eukaryota; Viridiplantae; Streptophyta; Magnoliopsida; Poales; Poaceae
Description: partial small subunit ribosomal RNA
Source: RNAcentral